Molecule: long non-coding RNA, 1673 nt
Organism: Oncorhynchus mykiss (rainbow trout)
Lineage: Eukaryota; Metazoa; Chordata; Actinopteri; Salmoniformes; Salmonidae
Source: Ensembl
GCUAGAGCUUGAGGACUCAACUCUGAAGACUGUUUCUGAAUUCACUGACCUGGUGAGUAAAUGUUGUGUACAAGGCCACCAUCUAGUGACAGAAACAUAGAAACACACAUUGUUGCUGAACGAAGGCAUCUCUUUAUUUUCCAGAAAUAAAACUUGUAGACCUUUCCUGCAGUCUCUGAGAAGAUGGAAACCUCUUCUUCUUCUGGACGAUCUCCGUCUCCUACUGGGACUGUCUUCUUACCCCCUCCUAUCAUGUGGAACAGUCUCUACAAGCAGGCAGAGAUGGAGGUUCACUUCCCGAGAGAAGAGAAGAAGACCUGUACAGAGAAGGAAGCCCACAUGCUUGAGUUGAGGGGGAAGGAUCGAACGAUCCGAAACCAGAAGAAGGAGAUGGACAGACUUCAAGUGUGCCUCUGGGAGGAGGAAAAGAAGAAGAGGAAUGGUGGAACGGAGAAGGACAAGAUCAUUGAACAAUUACAGUCUGAGUCAGACAGUCUCCGAGCCCUUUUAAAAGAUGAAAGGAGGAGAAGAAGAGUAGAAAGGGGUAUAAUGACAGAGUGGAAGGCUGAGAUCCUGAGACUGAGGGAGGCAGAGAGCCAGAGGGAGGCAGAGAGCCAGAGAGAGGCAGAGUGCCAGAGGGAGGCAGAGUGCCAGAGGGAGGCAGAGUGCCAGAGAGAUGCAGAGAGAGAGAGAGAAGCAGAGAGACAGAGAGAAGCAGAGAGCCAGAGAGAUGCAGAGAGACAGAGAGAAGCAGAGAGACAGAGAGAAGCAGAGAGACAGAGAGAAGCAGAGAGACAGAGAGAAGCAGAGAGACAGAGAGCAGCAGAGAGACAGAGGGAAGCAGAGAGACAGAGAGAAGCAGAGAGACAGAGAGAAGCAGAGAGACAGAGGGAAGCAGAGAGAGAGAGGGAAGCAGAGAUAGCCACAGAAGCAAUGGAGCACCAGAGAAAAAUGCAGGAGAUCCACAGACUCAAAAAACUGCUGGAUCUACUGAUGGUGGACCUACAACUGGCCCACGUAAGACAUGUCAUUGUUAUUAUUAAAAGGCAGUGUAUAUUUACCCAGCUGAAAAUGAAUAGUGGCAGACAGCGGUACGCUAACCCAAUGUUAACUUUUAUUCCUUUCCUUAACCCUUACCUUAACCUCACUGAAACUAUACCUAACCUUUACCUUAACCCAACCCUAGGUCCUGAACCUAACCUUCAUUUAUCUCAACCCCUAUGCCUUUCUUCUGCCGGUUGAAUAUCCACUUCCUUAUUAACGUCAUUACUGUUGUUGUUGUUGUUGACUGUAUCUGUGAAGGUUGUAAAUAGCUGCAUUAGUGAAGCAUCAUUUGUAGGAGUAAUUUCUACAAGCAUAAACAUCAGAGGCAACAUUGUUGUAACAUCACACAAAUUGUAACAGGAAUUUCUCAAACCCCUAACUGAAUGGGCAAGAAGGUUGUGUGUUUGUAUUUGAACACAUUUUGGACAUAAUUGAUUCCAUAAAAUGUCUCGUAAUUUUUUCAAACAAUGAUAAUACAUUAAUUGACAUUGAAUUGUCCAGAUGAGUUGAUCAAAAUGACCCUGCUAUUGAUGUUGUCCAGUGUUUGAUUCAAUUACCUAGCUCUAGGUUGUAUUUCUAUGUAUCAUUCUCUGCAAAUCCUUUGAAAGUAUGUCUUGGUCAUAGAUUAU